This 635-nucleotide ribosomal RNA is filed under the name Neophysopella meliosmae-myrianthae. Its description in RNAcentral is "partial large subunit ribosomal RNA". Lineage: Eukaryota; Fungi; Basidiomycota; Pucciniomycetes; Pucciniales; Crossopsoraceae. The record is from RNAcentral.
AGGUGGGACUACCCGCUGAACUUAAGCAUAUCAAUAAGCGGAGGAAAAGAAACUAACAAGGAUUCCCCCAGUAACGGCGAGUGAAGAGGGAAAAGCCCAAAUUUGUAAUCUGGCUCUUUUAGAGUCCGAGUUGUAAUUUUGAGAACUGUUUUCUGUGCUGGACCAUGUUUAAGUCUGUUGAAAAACAGCAUCAUUGAGGGUGAUAAUCCCGUUCAUGAUAUGGACUACCAGUGCUCUAUGAUACAGUCUCUAAGAGUCGAGUUGUUUGGGAAUGCAGCUCAAAGUGGGUGGUAAAUUCCAUCUAAGGCUAAAUAUAGGUGRGAGACCGAUAGCAAACAAGUACCGUGAGGGAAAGAUGAAAAGAACUUUGGAAAGAGAGUUAACAGUACGUGAAAUUGCUGAAAGGGAAACAAUUGAAGUUAGCCUUGUUAUUUCCAGUUCAACCCUUUUAGGGUGUAUUCUGGUGAUUAACGACCAACAUCAGUCUUUGAGUGCUGGAUAAGGGUUUUGGAAAUGUAGCAGUCUAGGCUGUGUUAUAGUCCAUUACUUUGAUACAAUGCUUAGGAUUGAGGAUCGCAGUAAGCCAAUCUUGGUGGAUCAAUUUAUUGGUCUUCUUACUGAGGAUGUUGGUGAAA